This 398-nucleotide ribosomal RNA is filed under the name uncultured cyanobacterium. Its description in RNAcentral is "bacterial SSU rRNA". It matches the Rfam family "Bacterial small subunit ribosomal RNA", at positions 381 to 796 of the family's 1533-position model. Lineage: Bacteria; Bacillati; Cyanobacteriota. The record is from RNAcentral.
UGCUGAGGGACAUGCCGCGAUGAGGGAGGAGGUCUUUGGAUUGUAAACCUCUUUUCUCAAGGAAGAAGUUCUGACGGUACUUGAGGAAUCAGCCUCGGCUAACUCCGUGCCAGCAGCCGCGGUAAUACGGGGGAGGCAAGCGUUAUCCGGAAUUAUUGGGCGUAAAGCGUCCGCAGGUGGUCAGCCAAGUCUGCUGUCAAAUCAGGUUGCUUAACGACCUAAAGGCGGUGGAAACUGGCAGACUAGAGAGCAGUAGGGGUAGCAGGAAUUCCCAGUGUAGCGGUGAAAUGCGUAGAGAUUGGGAAGAACAUCGGUGGCGAAAGCGUGCUACUGGGCUGUAUCUGACACUCAGGGACGAAAGCUAGGGGAGCGAAAGGGAUUAGAUACCCCUGUAGUCA